UUCAUUGUUCUUUAAACUUUCUGUACUAAGAUGUUAAAAAUUGUAACAGAAUUCCAGGGUGGUGAAAGGUUGAAGGCCAUGUUCUAAAACUUCACUCAGAAAACACCCAAACUUUUGCUGUGACAGAAUACGCAACUCCAGUCUAGAACUGCAUCGAUGGGGAGUACAGAACAAAGAUAAAGGGAUUUUCAGAAACUUUGAAACCUGUACAAGAUGUAUCAAACAUAUAAAAACAAUCUGAAUGAUGAACCAACAGCUUUGGUGUUUUUCGUCAACGGGAAAAGGGUUUCAAUUGAAAAUCCGGAUCCCAAAGUGACGCUGAUACAAUACCUUAGACGAAACUUAUAUUUGACCGGGACGAAGGAGGCAUGCAGUCAGGGAGCAUGUGGGGCGUGCACAGUCAUGUUGUCUUACUACAACCACCACCAGAAGAAAAUUAU
Long non-coding RNA from Saccostrea cuccullata (small rock oyster), 440 nucleotides. RefSeq lists it as uncharacterized. The transcript has 4 exons. The record is from RefSeq and is a predicted model, not a curated record. Lineage: Eukaryota; Metazoa; Mollusca; Bivalvia; Ostreida; Ostreidae.